RNAcentral lists this transfer RNA (73 nucleotides) under Felis catus (domestic cat). It matches the Rfam family "tRNA". Rfam says of the family: Transfer RNA (tRNA) molecules are approximately 80 nucleotides in length. Lineage: Eukaryota; Metazoa; Chordata; Mammalia; Carnivora; Felidae. The record is from Rfam by way of RNAcentral. RNAcentral also lists the same sequence under 3 other names.
GCCUGGCUGGCUCAUUUGGUGGAGUGUGGGACUGUUGAUCUUGAGGUCAUGAGUUCGAGCCCCACGUUGGGUG